GGCUGCACCCCGAGCACAUGGAAAUUCCCAGGCCAGGGACUGAAUCCAAGCCUCAGCUGCAACCUAUGCCGCAGCUGUGGAAAUGCUGAAUUCUUUGACCCACUGCACCAGGCCAGGGAUAGAACCCGAACCUCCAGAGCAACCCGAGCUGCUGCAGUCGGAUUCUUAAACCACCAUAGCGGGAAAUCCUUAUUGCAUCUUAUUACAAAAAUACUGUCUGCGACAACACUGGAGAGGAAAAGCCCUAAUCCUUCUCCAAAGACAAUAGAAGAAGCACUGCCGUAGGCCAUUAUCUUUUCUAAAUCUGGCUUUCCUGGCAUCCCUCCCACUCCAUUCUUCUUGAAAGUUUGCAUGUUGCCGUCAUCUCUCCCAUCCUCAAAGAUCUGCCCUUUCCUGAUGAACUCCUGUGCCCCUAAUGGAUCUCAGCAGAGAGGCUCCCCUUCUAGUAAGUCUCUCCUCCGCUGCUGUAGAGCCCUGUGCUGCCCUUAUAAGCCACACAACGGUACAUAUCAGACUCCACUGUGACUGCAAAGCGUCACUGUUUCCCCAGCCCCAGCCUAGUUCCCAGGGAGCACUCGACCUUUGUGGUAUGAAGGAACUUCACUCCAGGCCACCUUGGGGGCACACACUUCAGCAGGUCAGAAGGCCUUUUCUGUCCACUCAUUCCCUCCUUUCUCCUUGGUUCUCCCUAACUCUUGCAGUAGGCAUCCUGAUAGUCCAAUUUAACUGUGAGUUACAAAGUGGUACAAUCCGUUCUAUGGCCCAUGUUCAGGUCAGAAAACCCCAGGUGCAAACCAUCCUAUGUAUUAUAUGAGUUCCCUUUUGGGUGAAGAGGAAGGGACAGUAGCGGAGUUUCGUCCAGAGAGCUCAUCCCCAUGGUCUGAGCGCACCCUGCGAUUCCUCUGUGGAGGAAAGUGCCUCCCUCUGAUUUCAGCACAGAUGGGCAGCUUGGAUUUAAGUCCUAGCCAAGGAGAGUGUUACCCACCAAGGGGAAAGCCACAGCUUUCUCUGUCCUGUGCCUCAGUGGCUUGUAGGGUGAAUGAACGGCAGCCAGGGUGACCCCUGGGGUAAGCUGAAGGUGGGACUAAUUAGUGAUCCUGUAGCACACUGCAAAUAGAAAUGUCAAGUGUUACUAUUAAUAGUCAUGUUUCCUCUGCUCUGGUUUCCAAGAUCCCUUAUGCUUUCAUUCCAGAGCCUCUAGAAAGUAAUGAAAAAAUGUGAUUUGGAGGGAAAAGAGAGCUAUAACUGUAGGGUACCUCAGUAUGACUGGAAAAAUAAAAUGUAGAUGAAUAUGCUGCCCUUCCAGAGUGACUCAAAAGACUGAAAUUCUAAGAAAAAUGUUAACUGCUUUAAUACAUAAACAUGUAAAACUCUUGCAAAAAAAAAAAAAAAAAGAGCCAGAAACAAUUAAAGGACAAGUGAAAAACUGGGCAAAAUAUGUUUUACAUAGACAGUACUUAAAAGAGGAGGAUCCUUAAUAUGUAAAGUGCUUUUACAAUCAAUAAGAAAGCAAAGAAUACCCAAAUAGAAAAACUGGCAAAAGGCAUAAGUAGGUAAUCCACAAAGGAAGAAAUGCAAAUUGACAAUAUAUGUAGAGUGAAGACGUGCUGUUUUAUUUGGCAUCUCGUUGACUACCAGUGAGCCUGAAUGAUAGAAUGUAAUUUUUCAUUUAUCAGAUUAGCAAAGAUUAAACAUAUAGCUCAUCCUCAGGCCAAGUGAUGGGGAAUUGGUAUUUGCAAUUGCCACUAAUGGGAGUAUAAACAGGCACAGCAUUUCUGGAGAGCAAUUUGGCAAUGAAUAACAAAAGCCUUGUCCGUUGACUCACAGAUUCCACCUCUAGAGAUGCAUCCUAAGGAAUAAGCAAACAAGUACACAAAGAUGUGUACGGUAAGAUUGAUCAUCUCAGUGAGCUUUAGAGUAGCAAAGCUGGAAGCUAUCUAAAUGUGUAUCAAUAGCUGAUUGGUUAAGCAUACAGUUGAAGACGAUGUGGUCACUUUAAAAAGAUCAAUAGCUUCUAUUAAUAUGGAAAGCUGUUGACAUGUGGAUGUCACUAAAGGAAACAAAGAAAGUUGGAAAUUGGAGGAACUGGAGGUGGAAAAUGAUUUGGUUUUUGAGCAUUUUUUUAAAAGUGUGUGCAGGUAGAAAAUCAUCUGGGUAAAAGUGCUCUAAAAUCAUACUUUCUGAGAGAUGAGAUUACAGACGAUUUUUACUUGCUUAUUUCAUAGUUUUCCAUAAUUUAUUGACUUUUCACAAUGAAAAUUUAUAGUUAUCGCCACUGAAAAUUAUGUUUUAGGGAGUACUUGGUCUGGUUAUUCUGGCUACUUUAUGGAGGUGGAAGAAGCAACAGAUAAAGACCUAAGUCCAUAAAUUAAAAAUAAGUAAAAUUUUUAAUCAGUGGUAAAUUCGAUUGUUCCUCUCUGGAAUUAUUAUUUCAUUACUCAUUUUGGAAUGCACUCACUUUAUUCAUGGAAACUUCCCUACCUCUAGGAGCCCCAUCUUUUCUCUUGAAAAUAUCCCAGGACAUUCCAUUAGAUUAGCUGCUUCUGAUAUCAUUAUUGGGUAUACAACUUGUAUUUUUAAUUUAUAAAAUCUCUAAUAAAAAAUAAUUGCCAAUUAACUCUGCUAAAAGGCAUCCUUCCCCAGGGGCAUAUAUUAUCAUCUCAAACCUCUGUGUGAAGCUGUGCAAAGAGGUCUCACUGGGCCCAAUUCCACUACAAUCAGUGUUCCCAGGUGUGCAAGGCACCCUUUGCCUUUGCUGGGAGCCAGCAGCUCUAAGUGAUCUUUCCAUGUAUCAACUUCUCGUUUGAUUCUUAAAGGACCAAAUCAGGGCCUGUCCCCAUGUUUAGAAAUGUAACCUGGGAUACUAAACUGUCUUCUGUUGAUAAGUCUUAAUGUCGUCUUAGUAUUAGGACAGGAAUAUGAAGGGUUUUGAACCAUAUGAAACUUCUUCUACUCAACUCUUUUGACCUAUAGAAAUGGCACUUUUGUGUGAUGUAACCUUACAUAUUCUUCUUCUACUGGCAACAUCUGGACAGUUUUAUACUACUGGAAAAUUAAAUAGAUACUAAUAUUACAAUGUUGUUGCCUUUGUAGAGCAAUAGAAAUCUCUUUUCAGGGAAGCCAAGAAAUGACCAUUUUAAUGAAAAAACAAUUCAAUCAAAAAAAGACCUAAACAGACAUUUCUCCAAAGAAGACAUAUAAAUAGCCAAUAGGCACAUGAAAAGAUGCUCAACACCACUAAUUAUUAGAGAAAUGCAAACCAAAACUAUAAUGAGGUAUCACCUCACACUGGUCAGGAUGGGCAUCAUUAAAAAAGUCUACAAAUAAUAAAUGUUGGAGAAGGUGUGGAAAAAAGGGAACCCUCCUACACUGUUGGUGGGAAUGUUAAAUUGGUACAGCCACCAGCAACCAUGGAGAAUAGUAUGGACAUUCCUUAAAAAACUAAAAAUAGAGUUACCAUGUGAUCCAGCAGUCCCAUUCCUGGGCAUACAUCUGGAGAACAACUCUAAUCUGAAAAGAUACAUGUACCUCUAUGUUCAUAGCAGCACUAUUCACAAUAGCCGAGACAUGGAAACAACCUAAGUGUCCACUGACAGAUGAAUGAAUAAAGAAAAUGUGCUACACACACAGAGAGAGAGAGACACACACACAAUGGAAUACUACUCAGCCAUAAAAAAGAAUUUGCAGCAACAUGAAUGGACCUAGAAAUUCUCAUACUGAGGGAAUUAAGUCAAAGACAAUACAGAUAACAAAACAGAAACAGACUCACAGUCAUAGAAAACGAACUUAUGGUUACCAAAGGGGAAAGGGAAUGGGGGAGGGAUAAAUUAGGAGUUUGGGAUUAGCAGAUACAAGCCACUAUAUAUAAAAUAUAAAAUAAACAAUAUGGAUUUACUAUAUAACACAAGUAACUAUAUUUGAUAUCCUAUAACAAAACAUAGUGGAAAAUAAUACAAAAAAGUGUAUAUAUAUUAUAUAUAUAUAUAUAAUAUGUACACACACACACAUAUAUAUAGGAAUCACUUUGCUAUAUACCAGAAACCAACACAACACUUCAAAUCAACUAUCUUUCAAUUUUUUAACAUGUGACCAUUUUAAGUGGAUUUCCCUAUGACCAAAAAGUACCUAUGUGUGUAUGCAUAUAUGCGUAUCCUUAGAAACUAAAUAAAAAAUAUCCCAUAUAUUUAAAAAACAAUGGCCUUAAUCUAACUUUCUCCUGUGCCCCAUCUAACACUCGCUUCGCUGAAGUUGCUUUUUGAGUCUGUUUCUUUUUUCAGAACUUUUAUCUUAAAAAAAGGAAGAAGAAAAUCUUCCCAGGUGAUGUCACUACAUUGCUUUUCACUUUUCACCUUUGGGCUCCACUCCUCCCCCUGAGAGAUCAUUCCGAUCUUUGACAGCUGCCCGGUGAUGUUAAGCACCUUGCCCAAGGUUACACAGUUAAUUAGGGCAGAGCUGGGACUAGAACCCUAGGCUUUUGCACUUUUCCGCCCUGCGGAGAGAGUCAGGCCUGUUAUCCACAGCUCCCCUCAUGAAGGAGGAUCGGCUCAGUUAAACAGGCCAGGAACCAACAGCCUGGAAGGUCUGAGAGAAAAGAUCAUCCAUUGACAAAUGAGCGUGAUCAUUAUUAAUGUUAUUAUUCAUAUGCUAUGUCUGCGGCAGAAAACAAAGGUUUAUUUAAAAUGCACAUAAUAAUUUGAGUUUGCUCCAACAUUUAUUUUCUGUCUAAAUUAUUUUUUAACUGAUAUGAAUGCAAAGACUUCUGAAGACAAAAAGCAAGGCUUUUAAAAAAAUCCAUAACCUUAAAUUAAGACCACAUUUAUUCACACUGCUGCUCGCAGCCUAGAACUUUCUCCCUGUUAACCCUUCGGUGACACUAGCAGGUCACAUUUCUACCUCUUCUUGGCCCAAUUUUUAUUUUUGCUGCUAGCAACUGCUUUGGAAGACCAAAGUAUAAUGCAUUUCACAGUAAGAAUCCUAAUGGGAUUUUUAGUAAACGGGCCCUACCAGCCCACUUCCCCAGUGAAAACAUGCCUCUAAUUGAUCUCUAUGUAGAAACAGCAGCUGGUGAUCAGAACCACUGUGCUCUGGUGGGUAAUUAUUUUAUCAGGACAAGCACUUCCGUCAUGAUAAGAGAGAAACAGCAGGUCCCAGGGAGAGACACACAGAGAGGACCAAACAGACAGACAGACAGAGAUAAGACCCAGCAAAACCCUGCCUACAGAACCCACAGCCAUGCAACCUUAAAUGGAAAGUUUCUGUUCACCCAUGAUGGACUGGAGCCAGGUGGAGCCAGGGAGGGGCCUGGGAGGCCACUGUGACUGUGGAGGGUCAGAAGAGGCCAGCUCCCCGCAGCACCUGCGCUGGCCCAGAGCUCUGUUAGGGGGCGCUGUGGGGCCACAAGUGCCAAUUCCCCCACCUUCCCGCGUCAGCAGGCCUGUUGGGGUUUAACCCCCCCCCCCCCGCCCCCGUAGCUCUUUUGGCAAAGAGUAGGUGUGUCCUGGCCAGGUUCCAGUUUGGGUAAUUACAGCCUGUCAACCUAAAUUCCCCCCAGGAUUGCAGUUAAAUAUGGUACCCGUCUUUACAAUUAAAUUUUCGCUCUAAUAGGACACUCGAUUGUCAUGUUACGUGACAGUUAAAUAGCUGCUGCAUCGUACCCCAGAGGUAGCUGCACUUUUGUAGUGACUACAAAGAUUUCUCUGGGUGUAAUAAAUGACCUGUAUGGACAGAACUGGGGGGCUCUUUCUGCUAAAUAAGAGUUGGUAACCAUAGGAUUUUGCUCAUUAUUCGAAAUUUUUCUCCAACUCUUUCGGGGAAAAACUAUGGGGAACACUUGGUCCUCCAAUAUCAUUUCCAACUCUUUUCCUGGAAAUAAAAAUCAGGAGACCACGUUGCUGCAGGACAGGGGAGGCCUCCAACUACCUUUCCAGCCCCAGUUCCCCUGCAUUUCUUUGUCUCAACAUCACAGCAUC
RNAcentral lists this long non-coding RNA (5969 nucleotides) under Sus scrofa (pig). RNAcentral describes it as "lncRNA (ENSSSCG00050047053.1)". Lineage: Eukaryota; Metazoa; Chordata; Mammalia; Artiodactyla; Suidae. The record is from RNAcentral.